This is a long non-coding RNA of Helianthus annuus (common sunflower), 422 nucleotides long. RefSeq lists it as uncharacterized. The record is from RefSeq and is a predicted model, not a curated record. The transcript has 2 exons. Lineage: Eukaryota; Viridiplantae; Streptophyta; Magnoliopsida; Asterales; Asteraceae.
UUGUUCAAUUUGUGUUUAUAAAACUUUGAUUACAAGUAGUCCAGAAGAAGCUACUAGGAGGAUACAUGAGUUGCAGCAGCAACAGAUGUUAUGCUGGAAAACCACAUACAAAUGGGCAUUCAUGUGAAUUUUGGGUUUUUUUGAUGGGAUGCUUUGAUUGGUCAGAUGAUAGCAACUGAAGAUGAUACAAUGUCAUAUAAAACUCCUGCCAAACUUUAUGGGUAUAUUUCCAUGUUAUCACUUAGUUAGGUGAUACUGAUUAUUGCUACUUAACUUGGUAUGCACAUUCAAAAUGUCGAGUAUAAACCCCUCAACUUCAAGAAACAUUCCAAGAUUUGUUACUCACAGUUUAUAUUAUAGGGAAGAGUGUAUGCAACUGUUGUAUUGAUUUUUUUACAUUGGGUACAAAAUAACUUUGUAUA